RNAcentral lists this long non-coding RNA (1131 nucleotides) under Chrysolophus pictus (golden pheasant). RNAcentral's name for it is "lncRNA (ENSCPIG00010014233.1)". The record is from RNAcentral. Lineage: Eukaryota; Metazoa; Chordata; Aves; Galliformes; Phasianidae.
AACAGACGUCCAGAUUUCUACAUCUUGAAAGUUCUUCAAAAGGAAGUACUUUUGCUACAUACAAACAACACGACGAGCCUUUUCAGCGCACACUGGCAUCAUGCUCUGACAGAAGAACUACAUCAGCAAAGAAAGUUGAUCUAUGGAAGAAAUUACAGCCGGAACCUGGCAGCUCACCUCCCUCAGCCGCAGCUGCACAAAGGCAGGAGAUCCACUGAACUACCAGAACCACGGGCCCAGAUUUGGAAUCCAAAAGCAACGCAAACUGGGCAGCUUGCAGGUUUCAGACCAACCUCCUCUCCCCCCUUACCCACCUUACCAGCCACCGUGGCACCCUGUGCUGCGACGGCAGCGCCAGCACGAGAUUCAGCUCCUGCAGAGAGGAAAUGUUCUCAGCUGUACCACGCAGCGUGCAGGAGAACAAGACGAAGAGCCCCCAGUGCUGCUGCCGUUAGAAUGACUUCAGCGGGAUUAGGCAGAGCUAUGGAGGGAAAGCCCCACACAAUGAGUCCUUUCAUAGAGCAGAAACAAAACCUAACGCUAAUCACACCAGCGAUUCAGUUUCCUCUCCUAAUUCCUAAUCAGACAUCAACAAAUAAAAGCGAAACACUUAUUCUUAUUUUAAUUCUGGGAAAUAAACACAAGUGAAUGGAAGCGCUCAGCCCGCACCGUCAGAGCUCUGCAGCCCCUUUACCUCCCCAUGAAUGCACGGGCAGCUCAGCCUGCUCACACCGCCUGCUCGCAGAGGGGUCUGGGAUGGGAGAUCCAGGGAAGAGCAGCGUUAACAAGCGGGAGAAACUUCAAAGCCUGGAGACAAACUCAGCUGAAACACUCCUCCGUACAAAAAGGACCUUGAACCACAGCCAUUAGAAAAAACAUCUGGUGCGCCGCUUUGAUUUUCAAUGUUAGUCAUUGGACAGAAACAAAACAUCAUUAUUUUUUCCCCCCAAAGCAGUAAAUAAUUGCAAAUCCACUUCUACAUGUAACCUAUCAUUUAUCACCUCAUCAGCGACUGCUUGAGUCUGAUGGAAUUAAACACUCAAGUCAGGCAGUUUUUGUUAAAAGCAAUAAUUACAUUGUUACUAGAAUAUACAAUUAGGUAAUAAAAAACAAAAACAAAUCUGCCUGGCA